CAGAAAUAACUCAGUCCAUGCUGUCCAGAUGCAGUUCUGUUCUGUAGAGAUGAAGAAUAAGAAUCAUCAAAGUGGAAAAACCUCUGUCCUGCUCCAAAUUCUGGUCCACACAGGAGUAGUACUACUGGAGAGAAAAGCCAUACAUGUCCCAAAUGAAGGAAAGCCUUUACGUUAUCAGUCAUUUCUUAUGAGACAUAUGAAACUUCACACUGGAGAGAAACCUUAUGAAUGUAACAAAAGUGAGAAAGGCUUUAGAUAUUCCCUACACCUUAAUAAAUAUUUAAGAAAGAACAUUCUGGAGAAGCCCUAUGGAUGUAAGGAAUGUGGGAAAGCCUUCAGCAAGGCUCAAAACAUGCACAUAUAAGGAGUCACACUGGAAGAAACCCUAUAAAUGUGAUAAAUGUGAAAAAGACUUUGCAAAGUCACCAGAAUUAAAAGCCAUCUUAAGAUUCACAAUAGUGAGAAG
Molecule: long non-coding RNA, 466 nt
Filed under: Homo sapiens (human)
Lineage: Eukaryota; Metazoa; Chordata; Mammalia; Primates; Hominidae
Description: non-protein coding lnc-FOXD4L6-14:1
Source: RNAcentral